RNAcentral lists this long non-coding RNA (733 nucleotides) under Triticum aestivum (bread wheat). RNAcentral's name for it is "long non-coding RNA (TAES_LNC001934)". The record is from RNAcentral. Lineage: Eukaryota; Viridiplantae; Streptophyta; Magnoliopsida; Poales; Poaceae.
UGUUUGCUUUGAUUGAUUCGCUACGAAGGAAAUGUGCAGCUACUGAAUUGCACAUUUGCAAACCUCCAAUUGCAGUGCUAAAUACAGUAUACAGUGUACAGCUUGACAAGUUACAGUCAAGUCAAUACAUUGUAAGAAAACAACUAAUGAAAAAUACAGAGGUCACCUUGAUUGAUUGGCUACAAUGGAAAUGCACGACUACGAUGGAGAUCACCAGGGUUUGACGACAAAACCCCGAAUUAGCUCACGCAAGGACAAAUUCAGCCUGGCUACCUACUCAGAUAAAACGACAACUUCAAACUGAGAACUACUUAUAGAGCUUCAUAACAGAACAUGGAAAGAAGAGUUCAGAAGCUGCAAAGGAGGCUUGACUUGCUAUAUAUACAGAGUAUACAUACAGUAAAGGAGUUGCAAAUGAGACAUACCAGAGUAAUAUAUACAGUAUACGAUGAGAGAAUACUUUUCAAGACAUAACUGACAAUACCACAUUUGCCUUGAUUGAUUUGCUGCUAAGGAAAUGUGCAAGUACAAUGGUAAUGCACGACUAGAAUGGAGAUCACUGGGGAUUGACGGCAAAACCCAAAAUUAGCUCAUGGAAGAACAAAUUCAGCCUGGCUACCUACUCAGAUAAAAGAUAAAACGGCAACUUCAAAUUGAGGACUACUCUCUCCGUCCCAUAAUAUAAGAGCAUUUUUUACACUAGAGCUUUCAUAACAGAACAUGGAAAGGGGGG